Molecule: ribosomal RNA, 462 nt
Filed under: uncultured bacterium
Lineage: Bacteria
Description: partial 16S ribosomal RNA
Rfam family: Bacterial small subunit ribosomal RNA
Source: RNAcentral
AUGAACGCUGACAGAAUGCUUAACGCAUGCAAGUCUUUGGCGAAGCUGUGCUUGCACAGCCUAGCCAAGGCGGACGGGUGAGUAACGCGUAAGGAACUUGCCCUGCAGUCAGGGAUAACAGACGGAAACGACUGAUAAGACCUGGUAAAGUCAGGCGGACUCAUGUCCAGCCUGAUGAAAAGAGAUGCUGCAGGAGAGCCUUGCGUCCUAUUAGCUUGUUGGUGGGGUAACGGCCCACCAAGGCGAUGAUAGGUAGCCGGCCUGAGAGGGUGGACGGCCACAAGGGGACUGAGAUACGGCCCUUACUCCUACGGGAGGCAGCAGUGGGGAAUAUUGGACAAUGGGGGCAACCCUGAUCCAGCAAUUCUGUGUGCACGAUGAAGGUUUUCGGAUUGUAAAGUGCUUUCAGCAGGGAAGAAAAAAAUGACGGUACCUGCAGAAGAAGCGACGGCUAAAUACGUG